RNAcentral lists this ribosomal RNA (520 nucleotides) under uncultured Glomus. RNAcentral's name for it is "SSU rRNA". It matches the Rfam family "Eukaryotic small subunit ribosomal RNA", at positions 569 to 1088 of the family's 1831-position model. The record is from RNAcentral. Lineage: Eukaryota; Fungi; Glomeromycota; Glomeromycetes; Glomerales; Glomeraceae.
AGCAGCCGCGGUAAUUCCAGCUCCAAUAGCGUAUAUUAAAGUUGUUGCAGUUAAAAAGCUCGUAGUUGAAUUUCGGGAUCAAUAUGUCGGUCGUGCCUUCGGUACGUACUGGUAUCAUUGGUCUCUCCUUUCUGACGAACCAUGAUGUCAUUAAUUUGGUGUUAUGGGGAGUUAAGACUGUUACUUUGAAAAAAUUAGAGUGUUUAAAGCAGGCUUUAGCUUGAAUACAUUAGCAUGGAAUAAUGAAAUAGGACGUUCGAACCUAUUUUGUUGGUUUCUAGGAUCAACGUAAUGAUUAAUAGGGAUAGUUGGGGGCAUUAGUAUUCAAUUGUCAGAGGUGAAAUUCUUGGAUUUAUUGAAGACUAACUACUGCGAAAGCAUUUGCCAAGGAUGUUUUCAUUAAUCAAGAACGAAAGUUAGGGAUCGAAGACGAUCAGAUACCGUCGUAGUCUUAACCAUAAACUAUAGCCGACUAGGGAUCGGAUGAUGUUAGUUUUUUAAUGUACUUCAUUCGGCGCCU